Molecule: ribosomal RNA, 252 nt
Filed under: uncultured bacterium
Lineage: Bacteria
Description: partial 16S ribosomal RNA
Rfam family: Bacterial small subunit ribosomal RNA
Source: RNAcentral
UACGGGGGGGGCAAGCGUUGUUCGGAAUUACUGGGCGUAAAGGGCUUGUAGGCGGCCAACUAAGUCAGACGUGAAAUCCCCAGGCUCAACCUGGGAACUGCGUCUGAUACUGGAUGGCUUGAAUCCGGGAGAGGGAUGCAGAAUUCCAGGUGUAGCGGUGAAAUGCGUAGAUAUCUGGAGGAAUACCGGUGGCGAAGGCGCAUCCUGGACCGGCAUUGACGCUGAGGAGCGAAAGCCAGGGGAGCAAACGGG